AGAGUUUGAUCAUGGCUCAGAUUGAACGCUGGCGGCAGGCCUAACACAUGCAAGUCGAACGGUAACAGGAAGAAGCUUGCUUCUUUGCUGACGAGUGGCGGACGGGUGAGUAAUGUCUGGGAAACUGCCUGAUGGAGGGGGAUAACUACUGGAAACGGUAGCUAAUACCGCAUAACGUCGCAAGACCAAAGAGGGGGACCUUCGGGCCUCUUGCCAUCGGAUGUGCCCAGAUGGGAUUAGCUWGUWGGUGGGGUAACGGCUCACCWAGGCGACGAUCCCUAGCUGGUCUGAGAGGAUGACCAGCCACACUGGAACUGAGACACGGUCCAGACUCCUACGGGAGGCAGCAGUGGGGAAUAUUGCACAAUGGGCGCAAGCCUGAUGCAGCCAUGCCGCGUGUAUGAAGAAGGCCUUCGGGUUGUAAAGUACUUUCAGCGGGGAGGAAGGGAGUAAAGUUAAUACCUUURCUCAUUGACGUUACCCGCAGAAGAAGCACCGGCUAACUCCGUGCCAGCAGCCGCGGUAAUACGGAGGGUGCAAGCGUUAAUCGGAAUUACUGGGCGUAAAGCGCACGCAGGCGGUUUGUUAAGUCAGAUGUGAAAUCCCCGGGCUCAACCUGGGAACUGCAUCUGAUACUGGCAAGCUUGAGUCUCGUAGAGGGGGGUAGAAUUCCAGGUGUAGCGGUGAAAUGCGUAGAGAUCUGGAGGAAUACCGGUGGCGAAGGCGGCCCCCUGGACGAAGACUGACGCUCAGGUGCGAAAGCGUGGGGAGCAAACAGGAUUAGAUACCCUGGUAGUCCACGCCGUAAACGAUGUCGACUUGGAGGUUGUGCCCUUGAGGCGUGGCUUCCGGAGCUAACGCGUUAAGUCGACCGCCUGGGGAGUACGGCCGCAAGGUUAAAACUCAAAUGAAUUGACGGGGGCCCGCACAAGCGGUGGAGCAUGUGGUUUAAUUCGAUGCAACGCGAAGAACCUUACCUGGUCUUGACAUCCACRGAASUUUYCAGAGAUGAGAAUGUGCCUUCGGGAACYGUGAGACAGGUGCUGCAUGGCUGUCGUCAGCUCGUGUUGUGAAAUGUUGGGUUAAGUCCCGCAACGAGCGCAACCCUUAUCCUUUGUUGCCAGCGGUCCGGCCGGGAACUCAAAGGAGACUGCCAGUGAUAAACUGGAGGAAGGUGGGGAUGACGUCAAGUCAUCAUCGUCGUAGUCCGGAUUGGAGUCUGCAACUCGACUCCAUGAAGUCGGAAUCGCUAGUAAUCGUGGAUCAGAAUGCCACGGUGAAUACGUUCCCGGGCCUUGUACACACCGCCCGUCACACCAUGGGAGUGGGUUGCAAAAGAAGUAGGUAGCUUAACCUUCGGGAGGGCGCUUACCACUUUGUGAUUCAUGACUGGGGUGAAGUCGUAACAAGGUAACCGUAGGGGAACCUGCGGUUG
This 1435-nucleotide ribosomal RNA is filed under the name Escherichia coli O26. RNAcentral describes it as "bacterial SSU rRNA". Lineage: Bacteria; Pseudomonadati; Pseudomonadota; Gammaproteobacteria; Enterobacterales; Enterobacteriaceae. The record is from RNAcentral.